CGGGGCGUGGCUCAGAUGGCUAGAGCGCUCGGUUCGGGACCGUGAGGUCGCUGGUUCAAAUCCAGUCGCCCCGA
Molecule: transfer RNA, 74 nt
Filed under: Endomicrobium sp.
Lineage: Bacteria; Pseudomonadati; Elusimicrobiota; Endomicrobiia; Endomicrobiales; Endomicrobiaceae
Also listed under: 1 other name
Description: tRNA-Pro
Rfam family: tRNA
About the family: Transfer RNA (tRNA) molecules are approximately 80 nucleotides in length. Their secondary structure includes four short double-helical elements and three loops (D, anti-codon, and T loops).
Source: RNAcentral